AGUGAACGCUGGCGGUAGGCCUAACACAUGCAAGUCGAACGGCAGCACAGUAAGAGCUUGCUCUUACGGGUGGCGAGUGGCGGACGGGUGAGGAAUACAUCGGAAUCUACUUUUUCGUGGGGGAUAACGGAGGGAAACUUACGCUAAUACCGCAUACGACCUACGGGUGAAAGCAGGAGAUCUUCGCACCUUUCGCGUCUGAUUGAGCCGAUGUCGGAUUAGCUAGUUGGCGUGGUAAAGGCCCACCAAGGCGACGAUCCGUAGCUGGCCUGAGAGGAUGAUCGGCCACACUGGAACUGAGACACGGUCCAGACUCCUACGGGAGGCAGCAGUGGGGAAUCUUGGACAAUGGGCGAAAGCCUGAUCCAGCCAUACCGCGUGGGUGAAGAAGGCCUUCGGGUUGUAAAGCCCUUUUGUUGGGAAAGAAAAGCAGCAGGUUAAUACCCCGCUGUUCUGACGGUACCCAAAGAAUAAGCAACGGCUAACUUCGUG
RNAcentral lists this ribosomal RNA (492 nucleotides) under uncultured bacterium. RNAcentral's name for it is "partial 16S ribosomal RNA". It matches the Rfam family "Bacterial small subunit ribosomal RNA", at positions 29 to 507 of the family's 1533-position model. The record is from RNAcentral.